GACGAACGCUGGCGGCGUGCUUAACACAUGCAAGUCGAACGAUGAAGCCUUUCGGGGUGGAUUAGUGGCGAACGGGUGAGUAACACGUGGGUAAUCUGCCCUGCACUCUGGGAUAAGCCCGGGAAACUGGGUCUAAUACCGGAUAUGACUUUCUUACGCAUGUAGGAAGGUGGAAAGUUCCGGCGGUGCAGGAUGAACCCGCGGCCUAUCAGCUUGUUGGUGGGGUAAUGGCCUACCAAGGCGACGACGGGUAGCCGGCCUGAGAGGGCGACCGGUCACACUGGGACUGAGACACGGCCCAGACUCCUACGGGAGGCAGCAGUGGGGAAUAUUGCACAAUGGCGAAAGCCUGAUGCAGCGACGCCGCGUGAGGGAUGACGGCCUU
Molecule: ribosomal RNA, 385 nt
Filed under: uncultured bacterium
Lineage: Bacteria
Description: bacterial SSU rRNA
Rfam family: Bacterial small subunit ribosomal RNA
Source: RNAcentral